Long non-coding RNA from Oncorhynchus keta (chum salmon), 1950 nucleotides. RefSeq lists it as uncharacterized. Lineage: Eukaryota; Metazoa; Chordata; Actinopteri; Salmoniformes; Salmonidae. The record is from RefSeq and is a predicted model, not a curated record. The transcript has 2 exons.
UGUUUUGUGCAUGUGCACCACGUAGUCACGUUUCGUUGUUAGUUUAUUAAUUUAUUUGUUUUGUUUUUUGCUAAGUUUCACUUUAUAAUAAAUAUGUGGAACUCAACAUCCGCUGCGCCUUGGUCCGUCUCUCCUCACGUACGUGACAGAAUAUCCCACCAACCAAGGACCAAGCAGCGUGCUACGAUGGGGAAAAUAAGUUGGACCUGGGAGGAAAUAAUGGAAGGACAGGAGAUCCUUCCUUGGCAGGAGUCACAGAGGACACAAGGUGAGAAGGGUGGAAAGCGACGACGCCGGGAUUCACGGCCACAGAGAAUGCCAAAAAACAGGCUGAAAAUAUUUGGGGGGGGCACAAGGGGUGGUCAGCAGAGCCGAGGAGUGAACCAGAGCCAGUCUGGGAGAAGAGGGAGAUCUCUUCCAAAGAUCUCAGAAAGAAAGCGGUCUGUAAUGUAAUGGAACAAACCCUUGGGUCCUGAGCAGUGAGCACAGAUGUACUGACCGGGGAGUUGGAACAACACAAAAGACAAGGGCUUGAAUCCACUGGGAGUGUUGGAGGAAUUUCUAUAAUGGCUAAUGUCUUAAAUAGGCCAUAAGAAAUAAUACAACACAGAGCAUGACCACAUGACGCCAAAAGAUGAGAAAAUGGCUAAAUAACAGUUACACUCUGGAUUCCUGAAAAAUAAGCAACUCAUUAACCAUUGAGGUGCCCUUUCUCACGCUCUCACUGUGAGCAUAUGGACCUGUCCAGGAGAGGCCCUAGUUGAAGCCAGAACCAACCGCAAGCUGCCAAAGCACUGUCACACCUGAGUACAGAAGAUCAAAGAGACUAACAGUGCCUACAACCGCACAGCUGCUGCACGGGCCAAGCUUUCAUCACUACUGCUGCUCCCUGCACCUUCACACAUGUGUUUCCAAGGUCGGCCACUAACACGGCUGUUUACCUGUUAUAGCUGGAUCUGGGGAACCAGUGACUGAAGGACAGAAGGACGGACAGACAGACGAACUGACUGACGGACGGUCAUGGGAACUUUCACCCAUGUCUCCAUGCUGUUAUAUGGGGUUUCACAUUUCAGACCUCUGGUUUGUGUAAGUUUUUGUUUGUUUGUUUUCUUGUUUAAUCGUGGAAAGCCACAAGCAGAGGGGAGAAUGCCAGGAGAGAGCUUCUGCCAUCUUGCUCAGCCAAACCAACCCAGUGGGGUUUAAUUGCAGUGGGGUUUCCACUUGUAAAACAACAGCUUUGGCUGGCAAUAGAGAGAGAGAGAGACAGGCAGCUUUUCCUAGCAGCGAGCGGAGGAGCAAGGCGGAGGAGGAGUAGAGAGUUGUCGGCUCGGCACCAAGCUCGGUGGUGCUCCACAUUGGGACCGUCGUUAAGAGAAUUCCGCAGGGACUUCUGGGGGAUUAAAUACUGAGUUAAACCAGGCAGCAACCUCUCUCCACACCACAAAACAUCCCCGAAAAAACUGUGAAUUCAUCCGAGCAACAACUAACGAACAAACAAACAAACAAAUAAACAAAGAAGUUGACAGAUAUUGAUAAUGUUUUUGGCGAGAACAGUAUUUUGGAAAUGUGUGUGUCAUUAUGGUUCUGUAAGAUAUUUGGGGUCGUGGAGGUUAGAGGGAGAAAGACAGGUCUGUAUAGGUCUGCUGCAACGCAAUCCCCAUUUAACAAACAUCAUUUAGGUAAUGUUAUUGACUUCUCAAACCAACUAAACCUUUAGCCUGGAUUGAUCUGGAAAAAAUCACCAAGGGUUCUCGUAAUGCUUUAAGCCCUUUCGUUUCCUGAGGGGAAUUUAUCUUAGUUCCUCUACAGAGAACAGACAGUGAAAUGUGGGGCGCUGUUCUUUACACGGUGUACUUUUCUUUUGCUUUAAUCAAACCCACCUCUUAGAGAGAAUGAACAUGUUGAAAGAAACACAGAGGCCUACAAAAUAAAAAACUAUUAUCAACCGUU